AUCGCUUCUCGGCCAUUUGGCUAAGGUUACGUGUAGUAUCUAUUCUUAUCAGUUUAAUAUCUGAUACAUCCAUUUUCUAGGAACCAUAUAUUAAAUUGAUUUUUAGAACAGGGAGAUGGAAUAGGGGCUUGCUCUGUCCACUCCAUGCAGCGACCAGGUAUUGCAGUGCCUCUGUGAUUUAAAAAAG
Small nuclear RNA from Amblyraja radiata (thorny skate), 187 nucleotides. RefSeq annotates it as U2 spliceosomal RNA. The transcript has a single exon. NCBI's taxonomy places the organism in Eukaryota, Metazoa, Chordata, Chondrichthyes, Rajiformes, Rajidae. The record is from RefSeq and is a predicted model, not a curated record.